CAGUCCACGCCGUAAACGAUGAGUGCUAGCUGUCGGGACAUUAGUCUCGGUGGCGCAGCUAACGCAGUAAGCACUCCGCCUGGGAAGUACGGUCGCAAGAUUAAAACUCAAAGGAAUUGACGGGGACCCGCACAAGCGGUGGAGCAUGUUGUUUAAUUCGAAGCAACGCGCAGAACCUUACCAACCCUUGACAUCCUGUGCUACUACCAGAGAUGGUAUGUUCCCUUCGGGGACGCAGUGACAGGUGCUGCAUGGCUGUCGUCAGCUCGUGUCGUGAGAUGUUCGGUUAAGUCCGGCAACGAGCGCAACCCACGUCCUUAGUUGCCAGCAGUUCGGCUGGGCACUCUAAGGAAACUGCCCGUGAUAAGCGGGAGGAAGGUGUGGAUGACGUCAAGUCCUCAUGGCCCUUACGGGUUGGGCUACACACGUGCUACAAUGGCAGUGACAAUGGGUUAAUCCCAAAAAGCUGUCUCAGUUCGGAUUGUCGU
RNAcentral lists this ribosomal RNA (488 nucleotides) under uncultured bacterium. RNAcentral describes it as "bacterial SSU rRNA". It matches the Rfam family "Bacterial small subunit ribosomal RNA", at positions 791 to 1304 of the family's 1533-position model. The record is from RNAcentral.